CUACGGGGCGCAGCAGUGAGGAAUAUUGCACAAUGGGGGGAACCCUGAUGCAGCAACGCCGCGUGGAGGAUGACGCAUUUCGGUGUGUAAACUCCUUUUAUAUGUCAAGAAAAUGACGGUAGCAUAUGAAUAAGCACCGGCUGAACUCCGUGCCAGCAGCCGCGGUAAUACGGAGGGUGCAAGCGUUACUCGGAAUCACUGGGCGUAAAGGACGCGUAGGCGGGUUGGAAAGUCAGGUGUGAAAUCCUACAGCUUAACUGUAGAACUGCACUUGAAACUUCUAAUCUAGAGUAUGGGAGGGGGAGAUGGAAUUAGUGGUGUAGGGGUAAAAUCCGUAGAUAUCACUAGGAAUACCUAAAGCGAAGGCGAUCUCCUGGAACAUUACUGACGCUAAGGCGUGAAAGCGUGGGGAGCAAACAGGAUUAGAUACCCGGGUAGUC
RNAcentral lists this ribosomal RNA (440 nucleotides) under uncultured bacterium. RNAcentral describes it as "partial 16S ribosomal RNA". It matches the Rfam family "Bacterial small subunit ribosomal RNA", at positions 339 to 795 of the family's 1533-position model. The record is from RNAcentral.